Coffea arabica (coffee) is the source of this 2644-nucleotide non-coding RNA. Lineage: Eukaryota; Viridiplantae; Streptophyta; Magnoliopsida; Gentianales; Rubiaceae. The record is from RefSeq and is a predicted model, not a curated record.
UGAAAUUUCGCUUUCGCCAUUACUGCUUACCUCCAAAAUGUUCUGCGCCGGCUGCGCAGAAGCAAGGGCAGGUGGCAGAGAACCAGAAUCUCCAGCACCCGCUCAACCCAUAUAACUGAACCCGAACCCGGAUUCAAGUUCGGGUCUAAAGUCCAAACAAUACUGGUAAUCAUGGGGAGCAACCGGGUCUGGCAAUUCCAAACAUGCUAAAUCAUCAACGCCGACUCCAUGCAGGUAAGCACAAAACUGAAAGCUUAAAUUUUUAUUUCUGGGUUUCGUGUAAAGCUUUAUAAAUUAACUCGUCUCUUUUUCUUUUUUGGGAAAUUUGUUCUUUGGCCGUGUUUUAACAGGUAUACUAGGGAUUAGAUGUUCUUACUAAUAACGUGCCCAGGGUCUGUUUAGUUUUCAUUUUAAUAGUUAAAUAGUUACUAUAUUUGAUUGCUAAUGUGUUAGUUUUAGUGUUCCCUGUUUUGUAUUUGUUGAUAUGGAUGUUUGGCUAGGAUUGCCACAUUGUUUGUUGGGGGCAAUCAGCCCGAACGUUGAAUUUACAGCUAAACAUUUUCGGGAUGCUGCUAUUAUUCCUGUAAGAUAUUUUUAGAAAAGUUAUCAAUUUUUGUUGUGAGAUUAGUACUUCUAUUGCAAUGUGAAUGUUACUUGCAGCAUUUUUGGUGGGAUCAUUCAUCAUUGUGAAUUGCGGAUUAUAAAUGACGGUUGUAAUUGAUGUUGUGUUUUUAUAAUGUCUGCAUGUGAAUUAAAUUGGUUUCAAGUAGUUCAUUUUGAAUUGAAGGGGCAAUGUGGUUAGGUCGAGCUUGAGUGUGUCUCAACCAAUAAACGGAUGAGGUUCUGCUAUGCUCGAAUAGGAUUGAUCAGCACUUGAGCAUGGUCAAACUAGAGUUCGGAGUAGUCAAUUAUUGCUUUUAAUCUUGGGUGCUCAAGUGCACUGGAACUUGAGUUGGAGCAGCUGGUAAAGUAUUUUUGUUUUUUAACCGAGCUUAAUUUAGUAAGUAUACCAGUAAAAUAUUGUUUUUUGGAAAUGUAUAAUAUACAUGAAGAAAUUAGCUUCAACAACUUUGCUAGCCGAGUAUCCAACUUGAGUUUGGUUGGAAUAUGCGCUCAAGUGAUUGGUUACGGUCAAGUGGUGUCAAGUUUUUGAGUGUAUCAAGCUUGAGCUGCUCGCGAGCAGCUUGGUUUUUCGGUGGAACUAAGCUGAAGUUUGCUGCAAAGCGGCACGAUGCUUCAAUCUUUUUUGUUGUUGGUUUGUUACAACUGGUAGUGCCUUGCUAGUUGGCUUUGGAAGUUCCAAAAUGAGCCAGAAACUCUUACUAUGUUUUUCCCGACCCAUGUACUCCUUUGAGGUUUCGAAGCCAAACCUGCGCAUGAGAUGAUACAAUUUCAUUUCACUGAUUUUGUGAACUCAAGGGAUGAAAAUCUUUUAUAGAGAAAGCCUUAACAUCUUAAUCAUAAUUGACGAAGGACGAGAACCAGUAGGAACUAGGAACAGAAAGUUUCCCCCUUUCUAAUGCUGUUUUGUACAUCGUUAAUAGUUUCACUUUGUCUUAUUUGUCUGAGAAGCUACUAUUCUCAAGAAGCUGUAUUAGUGUGAAAUUGUUUCAUUAUGCAUCCGUUCUUUUUGGCCAUCACAUUCUAUAACUUCAUUCAUGAUUGAUUUUCUAGAUAAUCAGGGUGAUAUGGUCAAAUUGAAACUUUAUUUCAGGUAAAUCUUUAUUAACUUUUAUGUCAAAUUGAAACUGCUCUUCAAUCCAGCGUCUAGACAGUUGGACUCUGACAGCCUUCCGGUUAUCUUGUUUUUGCUGGCAUGGUAUAAGAUAUUACAUGUCAAGGAGAUAUAUAUAUAUGCAACUCUUUCCUCCUAAAAUUGAUAUUUCACAGCGUUAUAUUCGUUUUUUUUUUAACAUAAUACUGUGUAGACUUUGAUACUCCUGUUUCCUCCACCAUUCUCUCAUGUCUGGGCUCUUGUAUGUCCAUUCCUUGUGAUGAAUCUCGAGGGCAUGGAAGGAAACUCUUCAUUUGGUAAUCCUGGCCAUAAUGUUUGCAAUUGUGUCUCUCUUUUUGGGGGUUUUCCGAAGGUUUGAAGAGUUAUGGUUGGAAUGAGAGCAGAGAUUGCUAAGACAUUAAAAGCAAUGAAGUUUAUUGUAAAAUGACACAUACAAAUCCCUUGUCUUACACUGAAUAAUGCAAAAAUUGAUGAUCGCUCCUUAACAAGCUGCAGAAGCUUCUUCACCAUCUUCUUCUUCUUUGUCCUUUUUUUGGCUCCUGAAACGGGUAAUCCAAAGUGGGACAAUCAGCAGUGUUCGAAGAAGGCACAAGUUGAUGCAGCACUAACUAGGAAAAGUACAGAUGGGAUGCUCUCUUCUCGAGCCACAGCUGCUGCCCAAGGUUGUAGAAAAUCAUAAAUUACAAGGUCAAGAAAAUAGUCUUUUCCUUCAUCAAAGGCAAUUUUGAGGACAGGCAAGAGAUGUGGUGGAAGGAUUUUGGUGGAGUGAUACUCUAGGAGGGAGUUCUAAGGUUGAAGGAAGAUAAUGAAUGUCUACGAAACGAAUCGAAGAAGAAUAAUUGUAUUUUUCAGCAAGAUAUUCUGAAAAUGGACAUAAAUUAACAGGGGUGGAACAUAUAUAUACCUGGA